GCAGACACAUUCCAGCCAAUCAGCAGCAGACCCUCCCUCCCAGAUCCUCCCACCUCCUGGACAGCAUCCAUUGUGAAGCUGCAUUCUUAGUGAGCUGUCCAGGAGGUGGGAGGGUCUGGGAGGGAGGGUCUGCUGCUGAUUGGCUGGAAUAUGUCUG
Molecule: non-coding RNA, 157 nt
Organism: Pelobates cultripes (western spadefoot toad)
Lineage: Eukaryota; Metazoa; Chordata; Amphibia; Anura; Pelobatidae
Source: the annotation of a GenBank genome assembly